GCUCUUCCACACUGGCGUAAUGGUAGAGCGCGCGGUUGGCACUCACGAGGUCGUGGGAUCGAUUCCCACGUAAGGUG
This 77-nucleotide transfer RNA is filed under the name Perkinsus olseni. RNAcentral describes it as "tRNA-Ala". It matches the Rfam family "tRNA". Rfam says of the family: Transfer RNA (tRNA) molecules are approximately 80 nucleotides in length. Their secondary structure includes four short double-helical elements and three loops (D, anti-codon, and T loops). Further hydrogen bonds mediate the characteristic L-shaped molecular structure. tRNAs have two regions of fundamental functional importance: the anti-codon, which is responsible for specific mRNA codon recognition, and the 3' end, to which the tRNAs corresponding amino acid is attached (by aminoacyl-tRNA synthetases). tRNAs cope with the degeneracy of the genetic code in two manners: having more than one tRNA (with a specific anti-codon) for a particular amino acid; and 'wobble' base-pairing, i.e. permitting non-standard base-pairing at the 3rd anti-codon position. The record is from RNAcentral. Lineage: Eukaryota; Perkinsozoa; Perkinsida; Perkinsidae.